UUAAAAUAUUGCUCACUUCAAUAAUUAUCAGCUACUUUAAAAAAAAAAAAUUGACAUCUUUCCGAAUCCAACUGGUUGUCUUUAUCUUCAACCAUAUCUUGUUCAAACUCUCAUCAUUAAUCACAAAAUGACAUUGAAAUUAGAAAACCAAGUAUCAAGUUUCUCUCUUCUGAUCUUCAAUUAUUUCCAAAAUGCUUUUAAUUCCUAGAAUUUAACAGAUUCGAUAAGUCCAUAAUAGAAAGAGAAUUAUUCAAUCAUUCAAAAGUGUUCCUUUAAAGGAGAAAGAGAGAAAGAGAGAGAGAGAGAGAGAGAGAGAGAGAGAGAGAGAGAGAGAGAGAGAAAGAGACCUCGUUUCUGGUUCGAUUUUGGUUUUUGAAUGAUGAAGAUGGAUUCUUGGAUCCUUCCCAAUUUUUUUCAAUUCCAUUUGUUUGGCGAGUUGGCGCAGUUUUUCCAUGCAUUGCGAUUCAAUUCAUUUCUGAGGCAGCUGAGACUGUUAUCGCUGUACUAGAAAAACAUUCCAGGUGGUCCUGUAAAAGCGGGUCGACUGAAUGCAUUUCAAAGGCCCCCACGUGGUCCCCAUGAUUGCGCAAUCGUUCGCCCUACGAGCACAGAGGCCGAUGAUGCUGAAAAUUACACGCCACGUUGUUUAACUACUGAGAAAGAAAAGACUUCUUUGUCGUCGAUCUCUUGUUUUUCUCCUCUUUUUUAGUUGCUGUUAAAAUUAGUUCUCAACCGCACCUUCUCAUUUUUUUUUUAUACGUAUUUCUUAUUGAUGGCUUAAACAAGCUUGACAUAAAAUCAUUGAUAAUUCUAAACACAGUCACAGUGAUUUUGCAACUUGCAAUUAGCAGAAGAGAACAGAGAUGUCCCUUCAGAUUUCAACUUUUCAUAUUUUUUCUUCUUCAAAUAUUAUCCAAGAAGUAAUUUCAGAAAGAAAUUUUUCAUUGGUGAAAUUGAUCUCUGGUGUGAAUAUACGCUCUACGUUUCAAAGUUCUUUUGGAAACGGAUAGAAGAAAGAACGCGACAAUAUGCGUAACACUGUAAAAUUCGACGACAGGCUCGUCCUCACCAUGCGUAAAGCAGAUGUUCGUGUUUUACUUGAUGCCAGCCGGCGUUUCGAGCUGGGGUUUGCAGGCUUUCCGCCACACAGGAGAAAAGGGGCAAAAGCAGAGAAGGGGAGGGAAAACGACGAGGGUGACGGUGGCUAGCGAACUAGAAAAAUCCCCUGUAUCCGUGUCAAGAAGACUACUGGCUCUGAUUCUUAAACGUUACGCGCAUCAAGCACGUUUUCCAAGCCAGAAUUUGCUCUUCAAUUUGAUCAAAAUUUUACGUAUAUCGACUCAAGAUGAGGAACAACAUCUUACGGUGAAAAAAAAAAGAAAGAAAUUACCGAGAAAAUCUUCUUUGAUUUUUUUUAAAGUAUUAGAUCAGCAUGGUUUGAUGGUUUCGGGCCAUUGAUACUAAUGGUUCCUUAUUAGUUUCUGCAACGUGUUUUUAGCAAGUUAAAGGUAUGGAAAUCGUUUGUCCCAACUGAUAGCAGUAGGAUUAUUGAAAGAGAAAAAAAAAAAGAAAGAAAGAAAAGAAUUGAUUUACCUUGCAGAUACUGUUUCAAGAGUAUUCAUUUAAUAUUUAUUUGUAACUAUUUAGAUUCAGGUUUAAACCAGAGAGAGAGAGAAAGAGUCUUCAUCUAAAGUUUAUGCAAUUUUCUUUUUUCAUGGGCUUAACAUACACGUCAAACUUCCAAAUAUAAUUUCAUCUUAUGUCUGUUAUGAUAAGGUGUGAAUCUCGUAGGAAGAACUGCAGAAAAUUGUACAUUUCAUUUAUUUUCAGCCUGGAAUUUUUCAAAGUGGAAAAGGAAAUGUCCAAGGUUUCCAUGUCUUUUUGUUGUGCUUAGCUAUGAAUCUAUCAAAGGUGAUAUCUCGUGCAGCUAUCCGCCCCUUCCUGUUUCCUCUUUGCAACUAGCUGGGCUAAUCUUUAAACCACAGCAUCCUGUGGGUGUACAAAUGUGAAGCAGUUAUAAAGUUUCUGCCCGAGUGACAAAAAUACUCAGUCAAAAGACACUCGCUCUGGAGUGUACGCAUCGUGGACCGAACUGGUCUUUAGUUUUUACACAUCCUUAUGUUCCAACAUGGAAAUCUCAGUGUUACACAGUGUGUAUACGAUGUGACACGAAAGUUACAUGACAUGUUAUUGUCACAGGGGAGUGUUCUGGAAAUUAGUGGAAAUAAUCUCGAAACUGGCUACGUUGCGGCUCGUCAUCGGGCACUUUGCUGCUUUUCAAAAAUGCAAGCUGCCUUUUGAAGGGCAACACCGUACUCAGUGAAUCACAUUCAAGUGAACAGUUUUUUCUUUUCUUUUCUUUCACGUCGUUAGCAAUCGCUGAACUUUUUUUCUUUUCUUUUCUUUCCUUUGUUCUUUGUACAAGUAUCUAGAAAUAAAAAAGAAAAAAAAAAACGAGAAACAGAAGAGAAAAUCGUGCCUUCGGUACGAUUACAAUAAAUAAUCAUGCAUUCCGAACAAUUUGUUAACUAUUCUUUUUUUCUCGUCCUUUAUCAAUAAACACACAACCAGCAGA
Long non-coding RNA from Frieseomelitta varia, 2575 nucleotides. RefSeq lists it as uncharacterized. The record is from RefSeq and is a predicted model, not a curated record. Lineage: Eukaryota; Metazoa; Arthropoda; Insecta; Hymenoptera; Apidae. The transcript is spliced from 2 exons.